GACGAACGCUGGCGGCGUGCUUAACACAUGCAAGUCGAGCGGUAAGGCCCUUUCGGGGGUACACGAGCGGCGAACGGGUGAGUAACACGUGGGUGACCUGCCCUCAGCUCUGGGAUAAGCCUGGGAAACCGGGUCUAAUACCGGAUAUGACUCCAUGACGCAUGUUGUGGGGUGGAAAGCCUUGUGCGGCUGAGGAUGGGCCCGCGGCCUAUCAGCUUGUUGGUGGGGUGAUGGCCUACCAAGGCGACGACGGGUAGCCGGCCUGAGAGGGCGACCGGCCACACUGGGACUGAGACACGGCCCAGACUCCUACGGGAGGCAGCAGUGGGGAAUAUUGGACAAUGGGCGAAAGCCUGAUCCAGCGACGCCGCGUGGGUGAAGAAGGCCUGCGGGUUGUAAAGCCCUUUCAGUGGGGAAGAAAAGCCUCGACCUAACACGUCGGGUCUUGACGUAACCCAUAGAAGAAGCACCGGCUAACUCUGUGCCAGCA
RNAcentral lists this ribosomal RNA (490 nucleotides) under uncultured bacterium. RNAcentral's name for it is "bacterial SSU rRNA". It matches the Rfam family "Bacterial small subunit ribosomal RNA", at positions 28 to 513 of the family's 1533-position model. The record is from RNAcentral.